UCAUUUCAAUACAUUAUAAAACAUACCAAAACCUUGUUAUACCAAAUCAAAAUCUUACUGAAUUCACAAGUAUACACAUACCAAAAUGACAUUUCAUUUGGUCACACAUAUGUCUCAUUUAUGCCAAAAUAUCAUUUAUCAAAAUCACCGCAAAAUGAGCAUAACACAUAAUGCUUCCAUACCAAACCAAACAUUUCCAAUUCAAGCCAUAUCACAUAACUUGAUCAAACCCUAAAAUUCAUACCACAUUCACCAACAUAAGAGACCAUAUAAUUCAACUCAUAAACUAACUUAUACAUGCCAUAUUUACAUUAUUUACAUAAGGUCCAAAAGUACCAAAUAUCGUCUGGAUAGUGUAAUAGCAAAUCUCCGACCUCGUCCGAAAUCGGGCUAGCUUCCGAAAUCUAUAGGACAUAAGAAAAAGAACUAAAUAAGUAUUAAGCUUAGUAAGCCCGUCUAAUAUAGAAUUAAACUUACCAAUUUAACAUUAAGAAUUAAAGCAAUUAAAAUAAACUCAUUUGUCCACAAAGCCUAUUCACAUCACCAUUCGCAAGUUAGUCAUUAUCUAUAUAUUCAUCCAUUCAUAAAGAUGAAACCAAACAUAUAACAUUCUUUUAACAUCAAAAUUCAUUCCUCAAUUCUUAUAAAUCAUAUAUCAUAAAAAUCAAUCCAAGUCAUAUAGCUAAAUAUAUCAUGUCAUCCCUAUAAUUCAUAUAUUCAUAAAACAAAUAAUCCAUAUAAAUCAGGUAUUUCAUAUAACUUAUUAAUCAUGUAAAUCAUAUAACAUUUAUAUGAAUUCGUUCCUAUUCGUAUAACUUGUAAUUCAUCAGUAGUAACAAAAAUUUAUCCGUAUCAACAGUAACCUAUACAUAUCAACAAUAAUUCAUCCAUAUAAUUACAUAGCUUAUUCAUAUGAUCAGUAACAGUAAUUAUGCCCGUUGAACUUCGUAGAAUAUUGAUAGAUACUCGGGUGAUACACACUAAGUGUAUUUAUCGGUAAUCUAUCAAUUCAUUAUCCUUUUUGCUCUUUCGAGCCAUGAUCGAUAAACUCCUCCUGAGCUGAUAAACAGUGGGCUAUAUUGAGCUGAAACGGUAAGCUCUAAUGCGCUAGAUAGUAAGCUCAUACAAGCUGAAACAGUAAGCUCUAACGAGCUGAAAACAAUAGGCUCUUACGAGCUAAAAUAUUGGUAAGCUCAUACGAGCUAUGGUGAGUCCGCAACAAAUGCAGGAGCUCGACCAAAUCGGUAACCCUAGUGACAUGUCACUCGUAUCUAACAACUUCCUACGGUCCAAACGGGACUCGGUAACUAUUCAAAUUUAUCAUUUAAGCAUUCAAUGAUCAAUAAUUCAAUUUCUCAAAUCACAUAUAUAUAAUCUAUUCAUUUAAAUACAUACAUUUAAAUACUCAAUUCGCAUACCUUCUCAAAUUUAAUUGAAUACAUACAUUGAAAUACUCAAUUCGCAUACUUUCUCAAAUCACGUAUAUAUAUAAUCGAUUUAAUUAAAUACAUACAUUUAAUUACUAUUGCAAUUGUUUAAUAGUUCAAUUCUAGCUCUACGGACUUACCUUGUAUUUGCUCGAAUACUUUCGUCUACCCGUCUAACUUUUGUUUCCCCCGAUCAAGUUUCGGUAUUUUGUUUAUCUUGAUCUAUAUAAAUUCAAAUUUAACUCAUUUCUUCACCAAAUCAUUCAAUUCAAUCCAUAUACAUAUAUUUUGGCCUUUUUACAAAAUAGUCCUCAUAUUUUCACAUUUUGACACUUUAGUCCCUAAUUCACAAAUACACAAAUAUACGAAAUUUCUUUAUACAUAUACUUAGCCGAAUACUAUAUAGCUUCUAAUUGGCCCAUAUUUUCAUUUAUUUCACAUUUCUAACCACAAUAUAUCUAUUUUUUUAUCCCUAAUUCUCAUUUUUGUCAAAAUUCACUUUAUAAAACUUGUAUAUAUAUCAAUAUCCAUCAAUAAUCUAGCAUAAUACUUCAGAAUAUACUAGUAUUCAACAAUGGCACAUUUCAAAAUCAUCAAAAUUUUCAGAAAUUAAGGUACGGGCUAGCUAUAAUACAAAGCAACGAUCUCAAAAACGUAAAAAUUAUCAGAAACCGAGCACAGAACAUACCUUAAUCAAGCCACACAAGUGCCGAAUGGUUUAAGCAUUCAAAACCCUACUCUUUUCUUUAGUUUCGAUUCAAAAAGAUGAGAAAAU
Molecule: long non-coding RNA, 2202 nt
Filed under: Gossypium barbadense (sea-island cotton)
Lineage: Eukaryota; Viridiplantae; Streptophyta; Magnoliopsida; Malvales; Malvaceae
Description: long non-coding RNA (GBAR_LNC022656)
Source: RNAcentral